CUUGAUAUACGGUUGGGAGACACAUUGUUGUAAAAUAAUCUGUAAGGCAGUAUUUCAUUUUUUCGUUAUCAACAAAUGAGUUCGCACUCCCCUGGAACUGAAGGCACUCCACGGAUAGUCUUCAUACUACCUGUGUUGCCUUAUUUCAUAUUCAUUUCAUGUAAACACUCUCUACUUGAGAACUUGAUCCAUGUUUCCCUGCUCCAAGGCCUUAACUGCGACAUAUUCUUUGCUCAAGGAUCCCCUAAUGCCAUGUUGGUGACAUGUGCCAGAGGGGACUGCUCCUUUCCCCCUCUCUACACAUGCCUGUGGACAUUUCUCACAUCACCACUCCUCUGUAGCCCAAUGGGAGAGCUUCUUCCCUCCCCUGUCUGGGGUAAGGAGGUGGUUCACAUGCAGUGUAAGGGCAGAGUUUGGUCACUCAGUCUCUGAAGGGUUAGCCAUCACUGUCCUAAUAGAUUGAAUGAUUUUGUUUAAUUGUAUCUUUAAUUAAUGCUAACAUAUGUCAUUCACCUAUUCAUUUGCAUUGUUGUGUGCUUAAAUAUUACAUUAACAUUUUGUAACUUAUGAAUAUAACUUGAGUUAAUGCAUUUAGUAUAUUUUAAUAUAGUGCUAUAUUUUUGGUACAUUGGUAUAAAUAUCUGAAUGGACUUUCUUUUGAGGAUGUUUUGAAUGCCUUCUGCCACAGAAAACAAAACUAGCAAGGUGGUCCAGGAUGGCACUAUGAACUGAAGGCUUUUUGGAGGGAAGUGACAUAAUUAUCAAACUUUAUAUUGAGGCAAAUUGAGUGUUCUAUAAAUUACCUGUAUCAGUUCUACCUUCUGUCAUCAUCAGAGAGAUUAGGAUUUGGGAGGAUAUUUAUAAAGUAGUCAUUAGGUCCCUCACUAAAGAACGGAUCAAAAUCACCAUCAAGGUUCUCCACAAAAGAAGAUAAUGACUGAAGAUGCUAUGAAAUACACAUAUAAAAUAUGAAAUACUAUAUGCAUGCUAGAGGGAAGUUAGACUCCUUAGGACAGUUGCCAUGUCUAUAUGGAAAGGAACAAGGAAUAUGGCAUAGAGACUUUGCAGCACUGACAGACAAUUAAAAUGGGGAAAUGAAGGUGAUCAUUGAAUAGUCUUAAGGGAUCAAAUACAAUGUGGGAGAUGCAGGGUAAAAUAAAAGACCCUAAUGACAAGAUACUGAAAUGUUU
RNAcentral lists this long non-coding RNA (1190 nucleotides) under Monodelphis domestica (gray short-tailed opossum). RNAcentral's name for it is "lncRNA (ENSMODG00000051521.1)". The record is from RNAcentral. Lineage: Eukaryota; Metazoa; Chordata; Mammalia; Didelphimorphia; Didelphidae.